Long non-coding RNA from Triticum aestivum (bread wheat), 902 nucleotides. RefSeq lists it as uncharacterized. NCBI's taxonomy places the organism in Eukaryota, Viridiplantae, Streptophyta, Magnoliopsida, Poales, Poaceae. The record is from RefSeq and is a predicted model, not a curated record. The transcript is spliced from 3 exons.
CCGCCGCCACUCCUCUCCCACAUCGGGAUCUCCUCUCGAUCCAAAUCCAUCCCCUCCCAAAUCCCUCUCAUUUUCAACACCAGACCAACCCGAGCUCCUCCCUCGCUUGAACAUGCCGCCGCCAGCCACUCUUGCUCGAUCUCCACUACAGCCGGAGACCACGUCAUCGCCCAGGGAUGCCAAGCCAUGAAGCUCCAUCGUCACCGAGAGCAAGUUCCUCCUGCCCCAUGGAGCUACACUGCAGGACCUCCUCUACAUCAAACCCAAGUCAGGCGCCCAUGUCGACCAACCCUCGCUGAUCCGCUUCUGCUUCGGCCUGCGUCGGAUCCCGGUGUCCCCAGCUCGCCUGCUGCACCGCCAAGUCCGGUCGGCCUGCUCUUCGUCGUUUCCCGCUCCUCCUGUGCCCGCACCUGCAGAUCGCCGUCGAACCAGAUCCUCGCAGCCUCUCUGUUUCUUCAGACGAACAGGAGCUCCAGGAGUCCAUGGCGCCGCCCUUGCCUCGUUUCGCUCCAAGGUAUUCGAACGCCAAGUGCCUCUGCCCCGUCCUCGCCUCGCCGAAGAGGUUUCUCCUUCGCCAAGUCCAGCGCCGCGCCCUGCUUCCUCUGAAUCGAAGACGCAAGCAGCCAGCGCCCCUGAUCCUCGUGUUGACCGCGCCAUGUACCCGCUCCUUCCAUGUCCCUCCAGACAGAGCUCGAUCCAGCCGACUCGGGCUCGUCCCACCGCUGCGCAAGGCCCAGCUCCUCCCGAGCCGGCUCCUCUCCACUUCGCCAGGCCCAGCCGAUGGCCAAAUCCGGCUCCGUGCACCCCAGCCCAUCACCUCCGAUGGCCCAAGGCCCAGGGUGCCGAGGUUACCGUGCAGAUGACGCAACCAAGCUCAAGGAGGAGCUCGAUGAAGAUCUUAU